Molecule: ribosomal RNA, 297 nt
Filed under: Laxitextum bicolor
Lineage: Eukaryota; Fungi; Basidiomycota; Agaricomycetes; Russulales; Gloeocystidiellaceae
Description: partial mitochondrial large subunit ribosomal RNA
Rfam family: Bacterial large subunit ribosomal RNA
Source: RNAcentral
AUGGUAUAAUAAAAUCGGAGGCCCCGACUGUUUACUAAAAACACAAUUCAGAGCAAUGAUAAAUAUCAUAGUAUUCUGGAUGAAAUUUGCCCAAUGCCAUUAACAUAAGAGAGGUUAUGGGUAACUGUAACUAAUCGAAAGUCUGGUUAAUAGCGGUCUUAACUAUGAGGAUCCAAAGGUAGCAAAAUAAAUUGGCCAUUAAAUGUGGUCUUGUAUCAAUAAUGUAACGAUGGUCUCACUGUCUCUACAACUUGCUCAGUGAAAUUGAAUUACCCGUGCAGAUGCGGGUUACCUCCA